RNAcentral lists this long non-coding RNA (1776 nucleotides) under Cyanistes caeruleus (blue tit). Its description in RNAcentral is "lncRNA (ENSCCEG00000005404.1)". The record is from RNAcentral. Lineage: Eukaryota; Metazoa; Chordata; Aves; Passeriformes; Paridae.
UCUAUUCAUACCUGUCUGUCCACACCUGUCUCACCUGUCUGAUCUCACCUGUUCUCACCUGUUCUCACCUGUCCAGGUGGAUUCGAGGAUCGCCGUGGCGGUCGCGGUGGAUUCGAUCGCGGGGGGUUCCUCACACCUGUCACACCUGUCUGAUCUCACCUGUUGUAUUCACACCUGUUCUCACCUGUCACACCUGUUCUCACCUGUUCUCACCUGUCACACCUGUUCUCACCUGUUCUCACCUGUCCAGGUGGAUUCGAGGAUCGUCGCGGCGGCGGCAGGGGCGGAUUCGAUCGCGGGGGUUCCCUCACACCUGUCACACCUGUCACACCUGUCACACCUGUCUGAUCUCACCUGUUCUAUUCAUACCUGUCUGUUCUCACCUGUCCUCACCUGUCCAGGUGGAUUCGAGGACCGUCGCGGUGGCGGUCGUGGUGGAUUCGAUUGUGGGGUUUCCUCACACCUGUCACACCUGUCACACCUGUUCUCACCUGUCCAUUCUCACCUGUCCAGGUGGAUUCGAGGAUCGUCGUGGCGGCAGGGGCGGAUUCGAUCGCGGGGGUUUCCGCGGGCGCGGCGAGCGCGGGGGUUCCUCACACCUGUCUGAUCUCACCUGUUCUAUUCACACCUGUCUGUUCUCACCUGUCCAUUCUCACCUGUCCAGGUGGAUUCGAGGAUCGUCGUGGCGGCAGGGGCGGAUUCGAUCGCGGGGGUUUCCGCGGGCGCGGCGAGCGCGGGGGUUCCUCACAUCUGUCACACCUGUCACAACUGUCUGAUCUCACCUGUUGUAUUCACACCUGUUCUCACCUGUCCAGGUGGAUUCGAGGAUCGCCGCGGCGGCAGGGGCGGAUUCGAUCGCGGGGGUGUCCUCACACCUGUCUGAUCUCACCUGUUGUAUUCACACCUGUUCACACCUGUUCUAUUCACACCUGUCUGAUCUCACCUGUCACACCUGUUCUCACCUGAUCUCACCUGUCCAGGUGGAUUCGAGGAUCGUCGCGGCGGUGGCAGGGGCGGAUUCGAUCGCGGGGGUUUCCUCACACCUGUCACACCUGUCACACCUGUCACACCUGUCACACCUGUCACACCUGCUGUAUUCACACCUGUCUGAUCUCACCUGUUGUGUUCACACCUGUUCUCACCUGUUCUCACCUGUCUGAUCUCACCUGUCCAGGUGGAGGUUUCGAGGAUCGCCGUGGUGGUCGUGGAGGUUUCGAUCGCGGGGGUUUCCGCGGGCGCGGCGAGCGCGGGGGCUUCCUCACACCUGUCACACCUGUUGUAUUCACACCUGUUCUGUUCAUACCUGUCUGAUCUCACCUGUUCUCACCUGUCUGAUCUCACCUGUCCAGGUGGAUUCGAGGAUUGCCGUGGCGGCAGGGGCGGAUUCGAUCGCGGGGGUUUCCUCACACCUGUCACACCUGUCACACCUGUUCUGUUCAUACCUGUCUGUUCUCACCUNNNNNNNNNNNNNNNNNNNNGGCAGAGGAGGAGGAGGAGGAGGAGGAGGAAACCACAUGGGUGAGUACACCUGGACACACCUGGAUACACCUGGGGUACACCUGGGGACAUCCUAAAUACACCUGGAUACACCUGGAUACACCUGGGGACACCUGGGGGACACCUGGGGACAUCCUAAAUACACCUGGAGUACACCUGGAUACACCUGGGGUACACCUGGGGACAUCCUAAAUACACCUGGAGUACACCUGGAUACACCUGGGGACACCUGGGGACACCUGGGGGACACCUGGGGACACCUGAGGAUAGCUGGACACA